CGGGGUGAGUAACGCGUGGGUAACCUGCCCUGUACAGGGGGGAGUAACAGUCAGAAAUGACUGCUAAUACCGCAUAAGACCACAGUGUCGCAUGGCACAGGGGUCAAAGGAUUUAUCCGCUGAAAGAUGGGCUCGCGUCCGAUUAGCUAGAUGGUGAGGUAACGGCCCACCAUGGCGACGAUCGGUAGCCGGACUGAGAGGUUGAACGGCCACAUUGGGACUGAGACACGGCCCAGACUCCUACGGGAGGCAGCAUG
This 257-nucleotide ribosomal RNA is filed under the name uncultured bacterium. RNAcentral's name for it is "partial 16S ribosomal RNA". It matches the Rfam family "Bacterial small subunit ribosomal RNA", at positions 100 to 353 of the family's 1533-position model. The record is from RNAcentral.